RNAcentral lists this ribosomal RNA (479 nucleotides) under uncultured Glomus. RNAcentral describes it as "SSU rRNA". It matches the Rfam family "Eukaryotic small subunit ribosomal RNA", at positions 569 to 1052 of the family's 1831-position model. Lineage: Eukaryota; Fungi; Glomeromycota; Glomeromycetes; Glomerales; Glomeraceae. The record is from RNAcentral.
AGCAGCCGCGGUAAUUCCAGCUCCAAUAGCGUAUAUUAAAGUUGUUGCAGUUAAAAAGCUCGUAGUUGAAUUUCGGGGUCAGCAAGUUGGUCGUGCCACUGGUAUGUACUGGCUUUGCUGAUUCCUCCUCCUUGUAGAACCGUAAUGCCAUUUAGUUGGUGUUGCGGGGAAACAGGACUGUUACUUUGAGAAAAUUAGAGUAUUUAAAGCAGGCUAACGCUUGAAUACAUUAGCAUGGAAUAAUGAAAUAGGACGUUCGAUCUUAUUUUGUUGGUUUCUAAGAUUGACGUAAUGAUUAAUAGGGAUAGUUGGGGGCAUUAGUAUUCAAUUGCCAGAGGUGAAAUUCUUGGAUUUAUUGAGGACUAACUACUGCGAAAGCAUUUGCCAAGGAUGUUUUCAUUAAUAAAGAACGAAAGUUAGGGGAUCGAAGACGAUCAGAUACCGUCGUAGUCUUAACCAUAAACUAUGCCGACUAGGGA